GCAGGGCAGCGCAGGGGCCGCCCUCGCCAUUGUGUGCGGGGCUCGGGCAGGGGGCGCGGGGGGUGACUCAGCAGCCGGGGCCGGCCGGGGACCUCCGCCCGCCCGGGGCCGCUUCCCCGGGGGGCUCCGCGCUCCCCUCCCGGCCCCGCCGCGGCGCGCACAAAAGUUGGCAGCGCCCCGGGCCCCGCUCCCCGCCCCGCCGGGCAGCCCCGGGCCGCCGCACGGAGGGGGCAGGAGCCCGGCCGGCAGCGGGGCAGCCCCGCUCCGGGCCCCGGCGGGGCGAGCCCGGCGGGCAGGCGGGGGCCGGCGCUUUGCUGAGUGCGCCACACCGCCGCGGCCUGCGGCCCCGGGCCCGCUCCGCCCCGGGCCGGGCGGGGAAACGCGGCUGGGGGCCGGGCUUCGCUUCCCUUCCUUCCCUUGCUUUCCCUUCCCGUCCCUCGGGGCUCAGGCCCUUCAGAAGUUUAAUUCUCCGCGCACGGUCAGGGCGCCCUCGCUCCCCUGCCCGGCAGCCGCCUUCCCGUGACGGUGGCGGUGAAACUCGUGAGGGGGCCAGGAGCAGCCCCCAGGCUGAGGGACCCCCGUGUGUGCUUUGCCUUGGGCCGUGGCUCUGUUUUUUUCUCAAACUUUCCUAUAAGGAGUCGGGGGGGGGGGGAGAGUAAAAUGUUCAGUGUUGUUUGCUGUGGUAAAAUCCUCUGUUUUUAAAAGUUACUGGUUAGGGCCUAAAUUUGCCAGAGGAUUUGGCUGGUGUGGUAUCUGUGACUCAUGGACAGGAAAGCGCUGGAGGUUUGCUUUUACUGGACUACCUCUGCGUACAGGUGAACUUAGAUGCAUCAUCUCUGUUCAGCUUAAAACUAUUGAAAAGUUCUGACUGGGUGAAAAUACAGUUAGUAUCUUUGGGUUGCAUAAGCUCUCAAGGCUCCUUUUGUCUGUAAGAGAAUGAAAGUUUCAGACUGUGGGGGUGGAACCACGCAUGUAAGUCUAAAUACCUGAGUACUGAAAGGUGAAAACAUGCAUGCAAAGCAGGCAGAGCUCGUAAUCUUGGUAGGAGCCUGGCUUGCCAUACGGUAAUAAAUUGAAGGGGACGUGUUAAGGGAACCUUCUCAUGACAACUAGCUGUGAAACCUAGAAGUCAGUGCUGUGUUUGUAGGACAGGUGUUCGUGUUCGCUGACUCUGCUGCAAGACAUAAGAUGUUGUUACUGGUAAAAUGAGCAAGUUACUUUGGUGUUCUUGUUUUUAGGAACGGCAUAUCAGACAACAGAUUGAAUAAAUAAUAUUUAAAGAAAGUCACACAAUAGGGAGUGUUUCAUUACUGAGAAGUCUGGCUGUCUGCCCCCCCAGCAUGAUCUAUUUCAUAAAUAUCUUCUUUAAGAAUUAAAUGAAACACCUGAUGAUUGUACACCCUCAGCAGGCAGUUGAUUUCAAUGGGUUAUGUCUUCUUGUCAAGUGACAGCUAACAGGGAAGCCCAGCAGUAAGGCCUAAUGUUUUUGUGCCUUGGAUUUGUGCUGCUGUGUAUUUUUGCUUCUGUUUUGUCAUAAGUAUUUCUGAUGGUAAUUCUUGCUUAUUCUGCAUCGAGAUAUGCCCUCCUGCUUGUAGGCCUUUGGUUGAGGUGUGCCAGAGCAACCAGGAAACAGGCUUAGGUCACAGUUGGUAUUUUUAUGUGUCAUUGAGGAAACUGGUUCUGUAGUUGGCCACUGCAGUUGCUUGCCCUAGAAGUCCAGAGAUCUUUUGUGUGUCAUUAGAAUUGUGGCAUGCAUGCUUCCAAAAAGAACAGGAAAAGAGCUGUUUCAAACCUUAGAGCCAAGGCUGCUGCUUUGAAAAGAAGCUGUAUCCGAGAUACUUGAAACUUGUGCCUCACAGUUGUCUGUGAGCAGCUUGGUUCUUUCCAGUGUUGAUUAAUUUUUGGCUCUUUGAGGUACUGUAAGUGAGAAAGGUGUAAGUCUUGUUAACUGUGCUUCAUUUGGUGUGCAGAGCUUCUGGAGAGCUGAAUCAAGAGAGAGAGAAGGCAGAGGAAGGAGGAAACAUUCUCCUGGAGAG
This is a non-coding RNA of Anas platyrhynchos (mallard), 2036 nucleotides long. The record is from RefSeq and is a predicted model, not a curated record. Lineage: Eukaryota; Metazoa; Chordata; Aves; Anseriformes; Anatidae.